This 313-nucleotide transfer-messenger RNA is filed under the name Rhodopseudomonas sp. RNAcentral describes it as "Alphaproteobacteria transfer-messenger RNA". It matches the Rfam family "Alphaproteobacteria transfer-messenger RNA". From Rfam's summary of the family: Bacterial tmRNA, also known as 10Sa RNA or SsrA, is named for its dual tRNA and mRNA-like properties. Its role is to liberate the mRNA from a stalled ribosome. The record is from Rfam by way of RNAcentral. Lineage: Bacteria; Pseudomonadati; Pseudomonadota; Alphaproteobacteria; Hyphomicrobiales; Nitrobacteraceae.
ACCCUAGCGUUGACGCCCGAUCGCGCAUAUAUUGGGCAGGUCGCAAGACGAUGGCGCUGAACCUUAGAGCGGACUGCGGACAGACCCGGGGGCAGUACCCGGCGCCUCCACCCCAACAGCCACAUUUCCGGGCUGUUGCGGCGGGGGCGAAAUAGGAUCGAUGGUCGCGAAGAAGCUCUGAGCUGUGCUCGGCAUGAUACCGCCGUUAUCGGGUCAAAACCUAAAUGCAAACGAUAACGUUCGCAUGAACGAAGUGCGCCUCGCGGCGUAACCGUUCGGGGUAGGUCCACCUUGCAACAGAACGGCCAUGGCC